UGUCAAAUAUUUGUCAAGCAGCGCCCUCUGGUACUGCGUGGCAACCAGUUCGCUUUCUAUCUUCCUUUUGCAGGGAGUACGCCAUUGUUGGCGUUUGUGUUUUAACCCAAGAAAGAAAAUCUAAAAUCAUCCAAUAUGGUGAACUUCACGGUAGACGAAAUCCGUACCAUGAUGGACAAAAA
Non-coding RNA from Onthophagus taurus, 182 nucleotides. The record is from RefSeq and is a predicted model, not a curated record. Lineage: Eukaryota; Metazoa; Arthropoda; Insecta; Coleoptera; Scarabaeidae.